AAGCUGAAGCAUUUGGAUGCUGCUGGUCAGUGGGCAGCUUUCCUUCCUGAUGUGAUCCAGGGAACCAUCCUUCAUCCUUUUUGUGUUUGGCUCACCCCCUCAUUGGACCUCAUCCUUGCAGCUGUCCCCAACCAACUGGUCAGAGAGGAAGCAGAAAAGAGAAGGCUAUAUCUUAAGGUCUUUGCCCAAAAGUGACAUACAACCUCUUCUUAUUUUUCAUUGGUGGAAUGAAUUACAUGACCAUGCGUAGAUACAAGGGAGGUAGGAAACGUAGUUACCAAUUCUCUCUGAGUAGAGCUAUGACAUUUUGGGGCAGCAAGUUAUCGCUCCCACAUUAGAAAUGAUGCUCAUGAGAAGUUUGCACUGAAGGCCAGGGAGGUGAUUGGUUCAAAGCUAGGUCAAAGUAAGGGGUUGAGGGUAUUGCUUUUUUUUUCCCCAAGUCCUUUGGGGAUGAUCCCAUUCAUAGAAAGGGGUUGAGCAUACAAGAAAAAAAAAGGGGGAACGGGGGAGUGAUGAACAGGAUGAAAAAAGACAAGGUGGGAGAAUGCCAUAUGCAAAGGCCAAAUGCAAGGAUUGGUUCAGGAAGGAUGAAUAACUAUUGGAAGGGAAGAGAAUCAUGUGGGGGCAUAAAUAGAUCUGUAUGCUUAAUAAUAUGAAACACAAGGAGUUCUUCUUUUCUGGCAUCUAUUUUUGUUUAUUUGUUUGUUUCUAGAAAAUAGGCUAAGUACAGGGGGAAGUGUGCAGUAUGAGAAUUUUGUGGAGAGUGACAAUUUGAAAUUCUUCUUGCUUCGUUCAGUACUUAUUUUACAGUAGGUGCUCUAUGAAUGUUUCUUGAAUUCACUGAUAGGUGCAUUGCCUUUCCCAAUAUUUUCAGGAUAGCAUUUGGGGAUUGUUAUGAAUAAAUAAGGGCUCUUUCCCUUGCCUAUGAUUAGACACGAAAAUCUUGCUGCAAAUCAGGUGCCCUU
Molecule: long non-coding RNA, 965 nt
Filed under: Marmota monax (woodchuck)
Lineage: Eukaryota; Metazoa; Chordata; Mammalia; Rodentia; Sciuridae
Source: RNAcentral